CCUACGGGGGUCAGCAGUGGGGAAUAUUGAACAAUGGGCGAAAGCCUGAUCCAGCCAUGCCGCGUGUGUGUAGAAGGCCUUCGGGUUGUAAAGCACUUUCAGUGGGGAAGAAAGCCUUGGGGCUAAUACCCUCGAGGAAGGACAUCACCCACAGAAGAAGCACCGGCUAACUCCGUGCCAGCAGCCGCGGUAAUACGGAGGGUGCGAGCGUUAAUCGGAAUUACUGGGCGUAAAGCGCGCGUAGGCGGUCUGAUAAGCCGGUUGUGAAAGCCCCGGGCUCAACCUGGGAACGGCAUCCGGAACUGUCAGGCUAGAGUGCAGGAGAGGAAGGUAGAAUUCCCGGUGUAGCGGUGAAAUGCGUAGAGAUCGGGAGGAAUACCAGUGGCGAAGGCGGCCUUCUGGACUGACACUGACGCUGAGGUGCGAAAGCGUGGGUAGCAAACAGGAUUAGAUACCCUGGUAGUC
This 465-nucleotide ribosomal RNA is filed under the name Vreelandella stevensii. RNAcentral describes it as "partial 16S ribosomal RNA". It matches the Rfam family "Bacterial small subunit ribosomal RNA", at positions 338 to 795 of the family's 1533-position model. The record is from RNAcentral. Lineage: Bacteria; Pseudomonadati; Pseudomonadota; Gammaproteobacteria; Oceanospirillales; Halomonadaceae.